Molecule: long non-coding RNA, 1502 nt
Organism: Cannabis sativa
Lineage: Eukaryota; Viridiplantae; Streptophyta; Magnoliopsida; Rosales; Cannabaceae
Exons: 3
Source: RefSeq, a predicted model, not a curated record
GUUCUAACGGACAGCAUUCUCGGCGGGCCUUGUGUGUACCGUCAAAAUUGAAAAAAAAUUCACUGAACAAUGGACCAAUCUCGGCGGGCUAUAAAAAGGCUGCCGAGAUCGGUCCCCUUAAAAUUUGAAGCUGACGGUUAUGGGCAUCAAGACUACCCAAUCUCGACAGAAACGUUAUGGCCCGCCGAGAUCGGUCCUUGAAAAAACCCUAAUCAGCUGCCCAACCCGUCACAAUGUUUGCCUCUCUUUUCUUCCCUAAUUUUUUCCCUCUCUUUCUCCCUCCAAAAUUUCAAUCGCAUAUUUUAUCCGCCUCUCUAAUUCUUCAUUCUUCUCUCGUUCUCUCUCCCUCCUCUUGUCGAUUCUCUCUCUUGCUCACAUUUGACAUUUGACAUCUUGCAUCACCAUCUUCCUUUCGUUUUUCAGGUGUGGCAAGUGUUGGAGAAGACAUUGGGGAUGGGACAACGCCAGAGCUAGGGACGAUGAAACAUGGUCACUGGAUACGAACACUAGUCUGUGCUUCCUCUUCUCUUUAUUAUCAAAUCUAUAUUUUUUUCUUCCAUUUAUAUAUAUUUGUAAUUUGUAUAUGUAUAUAUAUGUAUUUUUUGCUUUAAAUUAGUUUAUUUUCUUUUUUUUUUAUAUACAUAUAUAUGUAUGUAUGCCUUUUUAUUAUGCCUGAGAUUUGUUUUUAUUGACUUUGAUAUGAAUUUGGGGAUUUUAAUAUUGUUCCAGGAUAUAUUGGAUUGCUUUUGUCAAUAGAAUUUUUAUAUAUUGGAUUGAUUUAUGUUUUGUAAGUUCAUGAGAAUUGAAUUUUGAUAAAUGGAUUUUGUAUUUUUGGAAAGGGAAAUUCUUUUUUGUUUGUUUUUCGUUUUUGAUUCUGAUAUAUUUAUUUUCAUAAUUAUUUUCGUUUUGGGUUUCUAUUUAAAAUAGGCAUUUGGUGGUUUGGUUUUCGAAUAAUGUUUCUUUGAUUGAUUUAAUGGAAUUUGUCUCUGACCAGAAGUUUAUGUUUUCUUUUUUUUUUAGUGUGGUGUAGAAAUUUAUCUUUUUGAAUGAGUCUACUAAUUUGAGACUUUACUGUGGUUUUUUCAGUUGAAUUUUAUCUUGUGGAAGAAAUUAUAUAGAGUUCAUGCUACCCUUUUGCAAGAUAAUGAAGACAAAGUAUGAGUGGAGUAGGGGUGCCCCUGAAACUAUUUAAGAUUAGAGCAGAUUCAACCAAUAUAUUGUCAAAAGUGAAAGGCUAAUCACAUGAAUUGGUUGUUGAUAUUCUUGAAAAUGUUGCUUAAGGGGAUAAGCCACUACUAGAAAAUGAGGAUUAAGAAAAAAAAAUAGUUGGUUGUUACUUUCAUGAGAGGAGAUAUAUUGGUUGCCAUACAUUUAUUUUUGUAUAUUUGCUUUGAAAGAUUUUUAUUAUUAAUUAUGUAUUGUAUAGAAAUCAUUUUUGUUUGAUAUUUUUGGAAUAAAAUUUGGUUAUUAUAUACACAUGAAUAAUAUUGGCAGCAUGUGAA